GUCGAGAAUCUUCCGCAAUGCGCGAAAGCGUGACGGAGCGAUGCCGCGUGCCGGAUGAAGGUCUUCGGAUCGUAAACGGCUGUCACCCGGGACGAAUAAAUGACGGUACCGGGGAAGGAAGCCACGGCUAACUACGUGCCAGCAGCCGCGGUAAUACGUAGGUGGCGAGCGUUGUUCGGAUUUAUUGGGCGUAAAGGGUCCGUAGGAGGUUGGUUAAAUUUGGGGUGAAAUCCCGGAGCUCAACUCCGGAACUGCCUUGAAGACUGAUCAACUAGAGUACUGGAGAGGUAAGCGGAAUUCCAGGUGUAGCGGUGGAAUGCUUAGAUAUCUGGAAGAACACCGAAAGCGAAGGCAGCUUACUGGCCGGUCACUGACUCUCAUGGACGAAAGCGUGGGGAGCAAACAGGAUUAGAAACCCUGGUAGUCC
This 427-nucleotide ribosomal RNA is filed under the name uncultured bacterium. Its description in RNAcentral is "bacterial SSU rRNA". It matches the Rfam family "Bacterial small subunit ribosomal RNA", at positions 354 to 796 of the family's 1533-position model. The record is from RNAcentral.